This 200-nucleotide ribosomal RNA is filed under the name uncultured bacterium. RNAcentral describes it as "partial 16S ribosomal RNA". It matches the Rfam family "Bacterial small subunit ribosomal RNA", at positions 28 to 241 of the family's 1533-position model. The record is from RNAcentral.
GAUGAAUGCUGGCGGCGUGCUUAACACAUGCAAGUCGAGCGGUAAGGCCCCUUCGGGGGUACGACGAGCGGCGGACGGCUGAGUAGCGCGUGGGAACAUGCCCCAAAGUGAGGAAUAAGCCCCAGAAAUGGAGUCUAAUGCCGCAUAUGAUCUUCGGAUUAAAGGAUUUAUCCGCUUUUGGGGAGUGGCCUGCGUGCGAU